This 381-nucleotide ribosomal RNA is filed under the name uncultured eukaryote. Its description in RNAcentral is "partial 18S ribosomal RNA". It matches the Rfam family "Eukaryotic small subunit ribosomal RNA", at positions 592 to 976 of the family's 1831-position model. The record is from RNAcentral.
CAAUAGCGUAUAUUAAAGCUGUUGCGGUUAAAAAGCUCGUAGUUGGAUUUCUGUCAAGGACAACUGGUCCGCCCUCCGGGUGAGCACAUAGUUUGGUCUUGACAUCUUGCUGGAAGCUGUUGCUGCACUUGGCUGUGUGGCGCAGUGUUCAGCACUUUCACUUUGAGGAAAUUGGAGUGUUUCAAGCAGGCACAUGCCUUUGGACACAGUGGCAUGGAAUAAUUAGAUUGGGCUUUUGCUCCAAUUUGUCGGUUUCUGGAGCUGAGGUGAGUAUUAAUGGGGAUUGUUGGGGGCAUCCGAAUUUAGCCGUCAGAGGUGAAAUUCUUGGAUCUGCUAAAGACGGACAACUGCGAAAGCGUUUGCCCAGGAUGUUUUCAUUGA